This 200-nucleotide ribosomal RNA is filed under the name uncultured bacterium. RNAcentral's name for it is "partial 16S ribosomal RNA". It matches the Rfam family "Bacterial small subunit ribosomal RNA", at positions 524 to 723 of the family's 1533-position model. The record is from RNAcentral.
UACAGAGGGGGCAAGCGUUGUUCGGAAUUACUGGGCGUAAAGGGCGCGUAGGCGGCCUUCUAAGUCGAACGUGAAAUCCCCGGGCUCAACCCGGGAACUGCGUCCGAUACUGGAAGGCUUGAAUCCGGGAGAGGGAUGCGGAAUUCCAGGUGUAGCGGUGAAAUGCGUAGAUAUCAGGAGGAACACCCGUGGCGAAGGCG